RNAcentral lists this ribosomal RNA (254 nucleotides) under uncultured bacterium. RNAcentral's name for it is "partial 16S ribosomal RNA". It matches the Rfam family "Bacterial small subunit ribosomal RNA", at positions 524 to 776 of the family's 1533-position model. The record is from RNAcentral.
UACAGAGGAGCCAAGCGUUGUCCGGAUUGACUGGGCGUAAAGCGCACGCAGGCGGCUGCGCGCGUGGGGUGUGAAAUCUGGCCGCUUAACGGCCAGGCGCCAUCCCAUACGGCGCGUCUGGAGUGAUGCAGAGGUCGAUGGAAUUGCCGGUGUAGUGGUGAAAUGCGUAGAGAUCGGCAGGAACACCCAGGGGGGAAACCAGUCGACUGGGCAUCUACUGACGCUGAGGUGCGAGAGCGUGGGGAGCGAACCGG